RNAcentral lists this unclassified non-coding RNA (243 nucleotides) under Hevea brasiliensis (rubber tree). The record is from RNAcentral. Lineage: Eukaryota; Viridiplantae; Streptophyta; Magnoliopsida; Malpighiales; Euphorbiaceae.
UAAAUUUAACAUAAAGUACCUUUGCACAGUCCAUUAAUUGCAAUCAACAAUGCUCUCUAGUUGUCAUGUAAGUACACGAACAAAACUAAAAUUUGCAUCUACUAACCACUUAAUUCAGCAGUCUACCAACUUCUAUUAUUUGGUUUUGAAAAACUUGCAAAUUCAGUAACGCUAGCAAUUAGGCACCCUUGAUAUACACACAUCAAAUACCUAUCUGUAUAUAUAUUUGCAAAAAAAAAAAAA